CACUCCUAAUGGUAAUCACAACAACGUACUUUUGGUCGUUUUAUAACAAAUGCCCUUUUGCAGUAGCUGGUCCUGUCCACUCCCAGUUUUGUUCAUUCCAUUUUUAGGCCCCUCUCUCUCUUUCUCAUCCCUUUUCUCUUUCCCCAUCUUCAACCAACCAUGCUUCAGUUUCAGAAUUUCUGCUGAAACCAUCUCUAAAUCGAUUAAUGCCUAGCUCUGUGAAGAACCCAUUUCAUUUGAAGAACUCAGCAGCUAAUUUCGAAGCAUUUUCUUAGAGGAUUCUAUCUUCAAUUUUUUGAGGUAGAAACCCUUGUCUGUGUUUAUAAUUUUGCACUGUCUGCUUUCCUUUUUCUUCUUCUAAGUAUAGAACCAUCACAUUAAGUAAGAAUUGUGUAAAUAAAACUUUCACUUCAUGCUAUAAUGAGGGACUUUCCUUCUUGUUUUGGUGAAAAUGGUGUUCAAGUUGCUGAUUCUUCGUCACCAAGUAGUGGUAGAACUGCUCAAAAUUCGGUUACAUGUGUGUAUCAGUGUCGAUUAAGCGGAUUUUCAUGCUUGAUUACUGUCACAUGGACCAAAUAUUUGAUGGGUCAAGGCCUCAGUGUUGGAAUUGAUGAUUGGACCAAUCACUGCCUCUGUAAAGUUGAUAUAAAACCAUGGUUGUUCUCUAAAAGAAAAGGGUGUAGAAAUUUAGCGGUGAAUUCUAGUUUAAUUGACAUAUUUUGGGACCUGUCCUCUGCUAAAUUUGGUUCUGCACCGGAACCACUCGAGGGAUUCUAUUUGGCUGUUGUUUUUAAUCAACAAAUGGUUUUACUUCUUGGAGAUUUGAGAAAGGAAGCAUAUAAGAAGAUAGAUGCAGCCCCUGUUGCUUCUAAAGCUAGUUUUAUUGCUAAGAGAGAACACAUCUUUGGGAAGAAGUUUUAUGGUGCAAAGGCUCAGUUUUGUGAUAAAGGGAAGACACAUGAUGUUGCAAUUGAGUGUGACACUGUGGGUGUUAAUGAUCCAUACCUUGUGAUCCGUAUAGACAGUAAGGCAGUGAUGCAGGUCAAACACCUCCGAUGGAAGUUCCGGGGCAAUUACACCAUUUUGGUGGAUGGGCUUCCGGUUGAAGUGUUUUGGGAUGUCCAUGAUUGGCUCUUUGGUAAUGUGAUGGGCAGUGCAGUUUUCAUGUUCCAAACUUGUCUAUCAGCUGAAAAAUUGUGGAGCAGCCAAUCUAUCUCCGAUCCCUCGGAAUUGAGCUGGUCAUCUUCCCAGACAUUUAGAGAUUCUCAAUUACAAGGAUUUUAGUGUUUUGAUGAAGGGAGUGAGCCAAAUUCGUCUCAACAGUCCCGUUUGUCCUAUCUAACAGAAAUGCCUUUCCUACUCAAUUCAACCUCGGUGUCUUCUUGUGUGGAUGGAUGUGUAGGCUUGAAAGUUGAAACAUAGUAAAUCAAUCAACUGCUUGGCUCAUGUUCAUUCAUUAAUAUAGAUGUUACUUUAUGCUUUCAAGACUUUCCUUGAGUGUCCGAAUCUUUUGCUGUUUCCCUAGUGUUCCUAAAAAUGUUUCAGAGAUGUUUCUGCUUGCAAGCUGACCGAAACAGGCACCUGGGACAAAAUUUUGAUUCUUGGUUGGAGCAAGGAAAAGAAACGAAUGAAGUAUCUUAUUCGAUCAUAUCUACACACACAUAUAUGCAUAUACUGUUUUUUUGCUUUGGAAUUACGUUUAUGUGGUGGCAUUGCAACCUGAUCAACAAAUACUUCAAGGGAGUUGCUGGAGAUGAAUUGUGAAAUUUUUAUUACUAAACGGAACGGAAAAAAAAAAAAAAAAAAGUAUGACAAAAUUAUCAAAAUUACUGAGUUUUGAUUUAGGAGGGUGAGAAGUAGAUGUCACUCAAAUAAAGAAGAUAGUCUUAACUCUUCUGGAUGUGGUGGUGGAGUUGUGGUGAUGUUGAAUGGGCUGUUUUGCUCUAGAGAAUGAACCAUUAAUUGUUCAUGGUUUGUCUUAGCUAGUGUGAGUCUGUGACAUGUACUUAAAAUGUAACUGGGUAUGAUUGGUUGGUUGUUGCUAAAGGAAAUUACCUAAAUAUUUAUAUUUAUAAGUAGAAUGAUUUCUUUUUCUUUUACUGGUAUUUUGAUCAGCAGUGGUUGCUUGCUGACACUUGUGUGGAUAUCCUAUAAUAAACUCAAAGUUGGGAACAACUGCAGUGAUGUAUAUGCAAGUGCUUCGAAAGGAAUUUAUAUUUGACUGAGUUAUGAUGAACAAUCUGAGCAAUAAAUAUAUGUAUAGGACUUAAAAAAAAGAACAAAAUUGAAGCAUCAUAGCUGAAUUAGUCUGGUAAAUUCUAAUAGACCUUGUGGUGCUUCAACUCUUCCUACUGUGAAAUUAUCUUUCUUUUUCAUCUGUGGAGACUGGGGAUAGAACUUAUGCUCAUGCGACAAGACAAAUGAUAUGCAAAUUCCCGUAUAAAUAUUCCAACUGUAGAAUAAUCAAAGUUUUUUAAUUACCAUAUAUUUUCCAACUGUCUGUAUGAUCAUCCUUGAAAAUCACAAUAUGAUUCUUCAGUUUGCAUUAAGUUCUGAUAUACACUUGACAUUUUUAAAAAAAAUAUAUGCACAAAGUGCAAGGUCCAAUCUUAAAAAUGAGCAUAAUGGGGUGUAUGUUUAAGACUGAAUAGCAUGGUGGCGGGGGACUCGGCAACGGGUUGAACAUUUUUGUGUAGACACUUAAGAGGGACAUCGAAUGAAAGAUUAAGCUUGCUUUGAUACCAGUUAUUACAGA
Molecule: RNA transcript, 2755 nt
Organism: Cornus florida
Lineage: Eukaryota; Viridiplantae; Streptophyta; Magnoliopsida; Cornales; Cornaceae
Exons: 3
Source: RefSeq, a predicted model, not a curated record